RNAcentral lists this ribosomal RNA (497 nucleotides) under uncultured bacterium. RNAcentral's name for it is "partial 16S ribosomal RNA". It matches the Rfam family "Bacterial small subunit ribosomal RNA", at positions 28 to 507 of the family's 1533-position model. The record is from RNAcentral.
GAUGAACGCUGGCGGCGUGCCUAAUACAUGCAAGUCGAGCGAACGGACGAGAAGCUUGCUUCUCUGAUGUUAGCGGCGGACGGGUGAGUAACACGUGGAUAACCUACCUAUAAGACUGGGAUAACUUCGGGAAACCGGAGCUAAUACCGGAUAAUAUUUUGAACCGCAUGGUUCAAAAGUGAAAGACGGUCUUGCCGUCACUUAUAGAUGGAUCCGCACUGCAUUAGCUAGUUGGUAAGGUAACGGCUUACCAAGGCAACGAUGCAUAGCCGACCUGAGAGGGUGAUCGGCCACACUGGAACUGAGACACGGUCCAGACUCCUACGGGAGGCAGCAGUAGGGAAUCUUCCGCAAUGGGCGAAAGCCUGACGGAGCAACGCCGCGUGAGUGAUGAAGGUCUUCGGAUCGUAAAACUCUGUUAUUAGGGAAGAACAUAUGUGUAAGUAACUGUGCACAUCUUGACGGUACCUAAUCAGAAAGCCACGGCUAACUACGUG